GAUGAACGCUGGCGGCGUGCUUAACACAUGCAAGUCGAACGAAGCACCUCUCCCGAAGAUUGACACAGCUUGCUGUAGAUUGAUUCAUUUGAGGUGACUGAGUGACGGACGGGUGAGUAACGCGUGGGUAACCUGCCUCAUAGAGAGGGACAACAGUUGGAAACGACUGCUAAUACCGCAUAGUAAGAAGAAUUCGCAUGUUUUCUUCUUGAAAGAUUUAUCGCUAUGAGAUGGACCCGCGUCUGAUUAGCUAGUUGGUAAGGUAACGGCUUACCAAGGCGACGAUCAGUAGCCGGCUUGAGAGAGUGAACGGCCACAUUGGGACUGAGACACGGCCCAAACUCCUACGGGAGGCAGCAGUGGGGAAUAUUGCACAAUGGGGGAAACCCUGAUGCAGCGACGCCGCGUGAGUGAAGAAGUAUUUCGGUAUGUAAAGCUCUAUCAGCAGGGAAGAUAAUGACGGUACCUGACGAAGAAGCCCCGGCUAACUACGUG
RNAcentral lists this ribosomal RNA (495 nucleotides) under uncultured bacterium. RNAcentral describes it as "partial 16S ribosomal RNA". It matches the Rfam family "Bacterial small subunit ribosomal RNA", at positions 28 to 507 of the family's 1533-position model. The record is from RNAcentral.